GGAAAUGUCACUCAUAGAUAAAAUGCUAGGAUCAUAUAUGAUUAUUUGGAUACUUAUAAAACAUACACAUAAAUGAGAACUGAUUAAGAUGGGUUACCCAAUAACACGUAUAACAACUUCAUAACAUAGAGCUAUCCUAAUCAAAGUGUUUUGCAGCGGAAAACGUGUGAGAUAUACAUAUGAAGAUGUAUACUCAAGGUUACAUUUCUUGAAAUGUCAAAGGAACACCCGCUCAACAUUAUUCCAUUCCAUCAACUGCUCAACCUGCACAUUUAGAAAUACAUGCAGGGCUGAGUAUAAAAAUACUCAGUGGGCAUAGCCGAAAAUACAUUCAUGCAUACAUAUAUAAAUUGAACUGCCAUAACAGUAACACACAGGGGUUUUCUUAAAUGACCUGCGCUUACUAAAAUAUUUCUUUCAUUUUCAUAAAGUCGAUCGGCCGAUCAUUUUCCUUCAUAUGAUCCAUAUCUGUUCCUUUCUGUCACGCGCCGGGAAGGAGGCCUCCUUACCACGGACGCCAAGACCGGUCGCAAGCGACUCGCGGUCUCCAUAAGUGUACACGUUAACCCUAGCUAGCGACCUUUGUCUAGCAUAGGACUCCCAAUUGGAUUUCCUUUAAAGUUGGCGAACCAACACAGAUAGGAUACAUAUAAAAACAUAAACAUUUUUGGCAGUCAAUCAUUUCAUAAACAUUUCAUUUCAUUUCAUGAACAUUUCAUUUUCAUUUCAUAAGAGUCAUUUAUCAUUUGGGCAUAAUAAUAAACUGAAAUUAACAGUUAAAAUCAUCUCAUGCAUAUAUUCGUAUAAGAGGCCUACGACACGCAGGGGAUCUCUAUAUACGUAUAGUAAAAGUAAUGCCCACCUGUAUAGGCAAAGCCUGUCGUUUAACCUUAUCUCUGAAUUGGAAUAGCAGUGCUAAUCCUCUUGAUGCUCAAAGCCUACAAGAAAUUCUAUUCUUAAUAGGUCUCCUUGUAUCUAAUCUUAAGUCAUGGUGUAGUGCUUAACAUUCUAUGAUUCACUUAGCCGGGUUUUUCAAAAUUUAAUAAAUAAAUACUUGAAAAUAUUUCUCUUGAGUUAAGAACACCAACAAUAUUCUUACUCAAUUUUCUUAAAUAAUUGGAUUUAUAAAUAAAACCAAUUAAAUCAUAAAUACUUUUAUUGCAUGAUGCAAAUGCAUACUUAGCAUAUGGUAAGUAAUUACUUAAAAUAUGCACAUAAUAAUGAUAUAAUAUUAUUAUACAAAUCAUCUCAUGCUUAAUCGUAUAUGCACAUAAUAAUAAUAAUAAUAAUAUUAUUAUGCAAAUUAUUCUUUAAAUAAAAAUUAUUCAAACCUUGCUAUAAGUCCAAUUAAUAAAUUAAUAAAUAAUGGGCAGCCCAUUUAAAAUAAUUAAAUCAAGGACCUCCCCCUUUUUCUUAAAAAUUUUCGCAGCCCACUAUAAAAUGGGCAGCCCAAGUUAAUUAAACAAUAAUAGGGCCAUCUAUUAAAUAAUUGAAUUAAGGCCCAACAUUUUCCUUAAAAAAAAUCGGCCCAAGUGGUAUUUAAAUAAGGCCCAUCUGUUUUAAUAAAAUAAAGGCCCAACUGAAAAUUAAAAUCGGCCCAAGUCAAAAAUUUAAAACAAAUCGCAGCCCAAAACUAAUUAAUACCCGGCCCAACACUCAAGCCCACUCCCCAACUUCAAGCCCAAAAGUAAAGUCAACCCCUAAUUUCUUCUCCCUUAUUUCCACUCGUUUCUCUCUCUCUCACGCUGAAACUCUCUCUUCUUCCCUUAUCUCACAGUUGCGCCUCCUUCUUCUCCAAUCUCUCUCUCUCUAAGUCACGGCCGCCGAGGCCCAUCUCCGGCGAAGAGCGCCGUCUCCGGUCACCCUCACCGCAUCAGUCACUCUCUUUCUCCCCCAAACUCUCGACUGCUCGACAGUCCUUCUCUCUCUCGGACUGAUCGGUUCUUUUUCUAAAUAGAUCGGAAACCAUCGCCAUCGGAGCUCGCCGGAGCAAGCGGCGACAGGCUACAUCUUUGCUGCUACUCCAUCGUGCCCGGCGACAACGUUGCUCCGGGACUCCGACUCCCAUCGAAGCAGCCGCCGACCACUCUCCCUCUGGGUUACUGAACCUGGCGGAAACAGCACCCUUGCCGCCUCCGCCCUCUUCCUUGGCAACGGAGAUAGGUACCGCCACCGCCUCCCUCCGUCUCUCUCUCGACCUUCCGGCAACAGCAGCCAAGCCACCGUUUCCGACACCCUCAGAUGUACUCAGCCCAUCUUUCCCUCGGCUCUCUCUCAAACUCCCCCUGUUCACAGAUCCGGCAGCCGCGGUCAGGGCUCCACGCCACCACCGUCAGCACCCCAUUCCCUUCCUUCUCUUCUCCCUCGUCUCCGGCAGUGGCGAACCACCACCACCACGACGCACGCCCUCAUCUCUCAUGCUCCAUCCUCGGCCGGACAACAACGGCGGAGCCGCCGCCGAGCCCUAGCCUCCCUCUGCCUCUCGACUCUCUCAGCCCGCAACCACACCGAGACCGACUGAGUUCGACGCUCAACAACAAGAAACGAGACUCAAAUACACAAAGAAUUCCCUUCUCUUAAAGUUUGAUUCCCAGAUUUUGUACUGAGCACUUGAAAUCAUUUGUUCAUUUAUAUAUAUACCAACAUAUAAUGCACAUUUAUGAAUGAGUUGGCUACCAUGUAACAUGAUCCUUUUUUUUAAAUUGUGAUUGAUUAGCUAGACUGAAAAUAUGAUGCCUUAAUCAUGCAUAAAAAUGAAUUAGUCAAGGGAGUUAGUUCAUAGAUGAAAACCUUGAGGGUUAAUGAUGGUUGGUGCUUGGUGCUUGGUGGCUUCUUUUGUGCGUUCUUGCCUUCUUGAAUGCAGAUGAGAAAAAUGCAACAUGUCUUUUGUGUAGAAUGAGUAAAGUCUCUUUGGUAUGAGUAAAGUCUCCAUGAUUUGAUAUAAUUGAGAUAUGGCAGAGAGGUGUGGAGAGUAGGUGGGAGAAGGGAGGGAGUAGGUGGGUGUAAUAAUAGGUAUUGAUGGUAAGGGU
This 3029-nucleotide long non-coding RNA is filed under the name Salvia miltiorrhiza (redroot sage). RNAcentral describes it as "long non-coding RNA (SMIL_LNC010438)". The record is from RNAcentral. Lineage: Eukaryota; Viridiplantae; Streptophyta; Magnoliopsida; Lamiales; Lamiaceae.